RNAcentral lists this ribosomal RNA (1037 nucleotides) under Microbacterium sp. Noryt2. Its description in RNAcentral is "bacterial SSU rRNA". It matches the Rfam family "Bacterial small subunit ribosomal RNA", at positions 53 to 1100 of the family's 1533-position model. The record is from RNAcentral. Lineage: Bacteria; Bacillati; Actinomycetota; Actinomycetes; Micrococcales; Microbacteriaceae.
CCAUGCAAGUCGAACGGUGAAGCAGGAGCUUGCUCUUGUGGAUCAGUGGCGAACGGGUGAGUAACACGUGAGCAACCUGCCCCGAACUCUGGGAUAAGCGCUGGAAACGGCGUCUAAUACUGGAUAUGCACCAGGAAGGCAUCUUCUCUGGUGGGAAAGAUUUUUUGGUUCGGGAUGGGCUCGCGGCCUAUCAGCUUGUUGGUGAGGUAAUGGCUCACCAAGGCGUCGACGGGUAGCCGGCCUGAGAGGGUGACCGGCCACACUGGGACUGAGACACGGCCCAGACUCCUACGGGAGGCAGCAGUGGGGAAUAUUGCACAAUGGGCGGAAGCCUGAUGCAGCAACGCCGCGUGAGGGACGACGGCCUUCGGGUUGUAAACCUCUUUUAGCAGGGAAGAAGCGAAAGUGACGGUACCUGCAGAAAAAGCGCCGGCUAACUACGUGCCAGCAGCCGCGGUAAUACGUAGGGCGCAAGCGUUAUCCGGAAUUAUUGGGCGUAAAGAGCUCGUAGGCGGUCUGUCGCGUCUGCUGUGAAAACCCGAGGCUCAACCUCGGGCCUGCAGUGGGUACGGGCAGACUAGAGUGCGGUAGGGGAGAUUGGAAUUCCUGGUGUAGCGGUGGAAUGCGCAGAUAUCAGGAGGAACACCGAUGGCGAAGGCAGAUCUCUGGGCCGUAACUGACGCUGAGGAGCGAAAGGGUGGGGAGCAAACAGGCUUAGAUACCCUGGUAGUCCACCCCGUAAACGUUGGGAACUAGUUGUGGGGGCCUUUCCACGGUCUCCGUGACGCAGCUAACGCAUUAAGUUCCCCGCCUGGGGAGUACGGCCGCAAGGCUAAAACUCAAGGAAUUGACGGGGACCCGCACAAGCGGCGGAGCAUGCGGAUUAAUUCGAUGCAACGCGAAGAACCUUACCAAGGCUUGACAUAUUCGAGAACGCUGCAGAAAUGCAGAACUCUUUGGACACUCGUAUACAGGUGGUGCAUGGUUGUCGUCAGCUCGUGUCGUGAGAUGUUGGGUUAAGUCCCGCAACGAGCGCA